GUUGCAGUUUCCAAGAAUCUAUUGAUGAUGUGAAGUGAGGACUUACAGUAUACACAAAGAAGUGAAGAUCUCUGGAAAUGGCUAAAAUAAAGGGUUGAAUGCCUUGUGAAGGUUUGAUGAAAGCAAGUCACUUAGAAAUGCUAUCAGAUUAAGUACAGGAAGACGUUUAUAUUUCUGAGAAUUAAAACAUCAAAAGCAGCCAUUAAUGUGAUGUUUCCUUAAAUUCACAAAAGAAGAAUCAAAUAAUGUUUAUAUGAGGGGGUACUGAAAAAUGUGUACAAAGUAUUCUUGGAGCACAAAUGAGAGACUUCAACUCUUUCUCAAACAUCAGUGAUGAUUUUACAGAGAAGACAUUUGUGUUGCAUUAAAAGAAGGAAUUUACAAAGUAGAGAAGAGGUGAAAGCAAGAAGGGUGAUGUGGAAGAGCCAACUGAGGAAGGACAGAGGUCUCAGCGUGGAAGGAGUACAGGAAAUGAUGAAGAUAUAGCGGGUACAUGUGCAGGUUUGUUACAUGGGAAUAUUGCAUGAUGCUGAAGUUUGGAAUAUGUAUCCCAUCACCCAAUUGGUGAGCUUAGUACAUGAGUCAGAAAUAAUAGAUCGUGUCCUCACCCUGCAUCUCUCUGGCCACCUCUGCUUCCAGCUUCUACCUUUAAGGACCCUUGUGAUGACAUUGGGACCAGCUUCAUUUCUCCAAAUGUCCUCCUCUCAUACCUCUCCUUGCACAUCAAGCUGCUCACCCUUUGUGCUUUUGCACAUGCUGUUUGAUUAUGAAACUCCAUGACCCUCCUCCUCAUGAUUCACUUGACUGACUAUUCAACGCUCAGUUCAGGUGGCUCUUCCUUCAGAAAGCCUUUUUCCAUCUACUGUCCUACUGCCCCUCCCAAGUUAAGAGCAGGUGCUGCAAACGGACUGCAUUUGUUGGGGUUGCUCAGCAGGAAAUUGGGGGGGCAGUGAGUGACUCACCAAAACUGAGGGAUACGAAAGGACAAUAGAAUAACAACAGAGAAAAACAUGAAGACAGAAAGGACACCAAAAGAUUUAUGAGGCUUUAAAUUCAGUUGUAAAGUCAAGACUGAUGGAAGAAAUAUUAAUGAACAUACCUGGAAGACUCAUAGAUUUUAUGAAAGACCUUCAUAGAUAUCGUCUACAACCUGCAUAUAUUAUAUAAUAAAAUAUUGAUAGAACUACAUAUUGGAAAUAAUUAUUUUUAAUAAAUUACUGUAUAUAUAAUUUAAUUUUCUGAUAAACCAGUGAAAAUUAAAAAUAUUGUCCUUUUGUACCAUACACAAAAAUUCUGUCCAUCUGCCUAGUGUAACACAACAAAUUCCUUGAUCAAAUAAUGGAUAAGAGCUCAAUACCAGAAUUAUUGAAUACACUGAGAAAAAUUUAAUGCAUAGUUAUUUCAGAUUCACAUAUUAUGCAUUGCUUCAUUUAAAACCCUAAUUAAUAUCCCAAAAGAAUUAUCUUAUGAACAAAUUUUUUCCAGAAAUUAUUUAUCUCACCCAUACUGGUAAAAUAAACAAUAAAUAUUAAGCCAAUGGUAGGAAAGGUCCAUUUUGAUGCAUUUUUUACAUCAAAAUUAAUGAGGUUUAAGCAUGCAAUGCCAUUAAAAAUUUUUUUUAAAGUCUAUUCUUUGUGUAAAGCCCAGGAUUACUUUUUGGGAUGGUAGUAAUGUUUGGAGUGUAUAAGAGUUUCCAACCAUUUGGAAGGUAUUAGCUUUAAUCUGUAGCAGACUAUUAUGGUAUUUGCAAGUCUAUCUUUGAAAUUGUCUCACUUAAGUUAAUGUAAUAUGUACCUCAUUAAAGAAAUAUAAAAUGCAAGCUUUUCUAUUUUAACCAAGCUAAAAAAAAUAGCCAAUUCUGAAUAUCUAAAAUAUUCUUGAACUUUUUGUAUUUUUUGAGGAAACUAUAACAACUCUUGCCAAAGAAGCAUUUUCUAAAUUUCUCAAAAAGUUAUUUGAGUUAGAAAGUUAAAUAAUUGAUUUUGCUUAAUUUCUUGCCAGCUGGGGACUUACAAAGAGAGCAUUUAUUUAAAAACCAAUUAAAUAUGGUGUGUCAGUGGAACAUAGUUUGGAGAAGGAAGAUGCAUGCUGUGACCAAAAUUUAACACAUAUCCUCGAAGUAUCUAAAUUUCCUGAACUUCUUGCAAAUGAGCUGGUUCAUGCUUAAAUACUUAGUACAUCAAUCUUUAACUUGAAAGAUUAUAUUUAUAUAUUUUAACUUUUAUUUGAAUAAAAGUUACUCAUCACGCUUUUAUUUGAUAAACCAAAUAUAAUGCUUUAUAUAGUCUUCAGAGAAUGAAUGUCAGCAAAUAAAAGCUGAGGUCUCAAGCUAGGCACACUAAAGUUUUAUCAUAAUGAGACUGUGUCAACAAAGUAGAAUUAUAAUGGUUCCUCUUGGGAUAACAGUGGGAAUUAAUUUUAAAAUGGAAAUGUGAAAUACUUAAAGUUAGAAAGAUGAAUGUUAGUAAGCUAGUAAUUUACUAGCUUAUUAAUUUAGAGGGAAAAAUAUGAAGUAAAGAGAACUUUUAUGAAAUUUUCACAAGGAGGUCAAAACAUUAGCUAAGGAUAGCUAAGGUAAAUUUACAUGCACUUUAACUUUACCACAUGAAUGAUUUGUCAAUGAAUUAGAAAACCAAGCAAAAAUCUUCAAACCUGUCACAAUCUUUUCAUGUAGUCCAUAACCUGUAAAAUUCACAGCCUAUGUUACCUAAGUCUGCAUGAACGUUUCCAACAAUGAAUCAGCAUGUGCAAAAGAAAACCAGCACAGAUUAAAUGCUGAGUGUGCCUGGGUAUCCCCAAACAUAUCUACCCAAGCUUCCUAUACGUCAUAUUUUUCUUUUUACAGUGUCAAGCAACAAAACAUACAGAAACAGAAGUGAGUGAUGGAAAAACAGUAUUUUAAAGUCACAUUGUCAUAUACACUCAUUCUUUUGAUGUUGUUUUAUGAACACUUUCAAGAAUCUAUAUCUAAUCAGUCUAAACCUUUGGUAAUACAGGAUUGAGACAUUUUAAAUUUGUUCCUAAGAAAUUAAACAAUACAGAUUCAGCUAAAACUUAUGUAUGUAUAUCUCUUUUCAAUGCAGUUCUCCAGUCUUCCUUCUGUAAAUGUGACUUAGUAAGUUCGGGGUGCUGUAACAAAUACCAUAGACUGGAUGACUUAAACAACAAACAUUUCCUUCUCACAGUUCUAGAGUCUGGAAGUGUAAGAUCAGGGUUCCAGUAUAGUGGGGUUCUUGGUGAAGGCCCUGUUUUUGGUUUGCAAACAGACAUCUUCUUAUUGUAUCUUCACAUGGCAAAGUGUAGAGAGAGAUGAAACAAACUCUUUCUUGUCUCUUCUUAUAAGGAUACUAAUUCCAUCAUAGGACUCCAUUCUCAUGACCUAAUUAACUUCCAGAGGCCCCAUCUCUAAAUCCCAUCACAUUGGAGAUUAAAGUUUUAGUAUAUUGAUGUUGGAUGGACAAAAAUAUUCAGUCCAUAUCAAGAUGUAACCACCAUAGUGAAUUUAGUGUUUAUCAUUUUCAAUAAUAUGUUUGUCUUAUAUUUUUACCACAAACCUACCAUGCAUAAAUAUACACAGUAAUAGGUAUCAUAAUGUUUAUAUAGGAUUAUAAAUUGCUUUUUUAAUGGACCUAUAUUUUGAGUUCUGUGCUCAAAAUAUAGAUAAAUUUUCUAGAUAAAUUUUCUAGUUUGUUUUUGUGACAAUAGAUAUGCUGCAAUUUCAUUUGUUUGUUCUGAGAUGGGUAUUUAAGAUGCUUCAGAUAUUUGCUAUUACAAAUAAUGCUGAAAAAAGUGUGUUUUAUCAGGCAUACAUUUAAAAGUUUCUAUAGCAUAUAUCCCUAGAAAUAGAAUUUCUGGAUUUUAAGACAUACAAAUCUUAAUUUUACUAGAUAUUGUUAAGUUGCUUCCCAUAGAGGUUGUAUCAAUUUACUCUGCUACCAUAAACAUGACAAUUCUUUGCCAGCAUGCAGUUUUGUGAUAUUUCCAAAAAAUUUCAUCAGUCUCAUGCACCUAAUUUUUGUUUUAAAUUGAAUUUCUAUGAUUGCUUACAAAAUUAAGCAACUUUUCACAUUUAUUGGCCAUGUAGAUUUCUUCUUUUGUAAAUUGCUCCCAUGUUUAUUUUAUUUUCAUUCACUUCUUUGCCGUUUGCUUAUUCAUUUGUAGAUGUUAAUUAUAUUUUCUGAGUAAUAAUCCCUUGUUAUAUCUUUACUGGGGCAGGAGACAUUGGCUGUGUGUUUGUGUGUGCACACGUGUGUUGUGUGUGUAUGUAUGUGCAUAUAUGUAUUUGGGUCAGUUGUCCCUUGAUAUCCAUGGAGGAUUGGUUCCAAAACCUCCUACAGAUGACAAAAUAUGCAGACUCUCAAGUCCCUGAUAUAAAAUAAAAUGGCGUAUUCGCAUAUAGCCUAUGCACAUCCUUCUAUAUACUUUAAAUCAUCUCUAGAUUACUUACAAUGCCUAAUGCAAUGUAAAUACUAUGUAAAUAGUUGUUCUACAAUAUCAUUUAGAUAUAACAAGAAGAAAAUAAAGACUGUACACAUUCAUUACAGACACAGUAUUUUUCAAAUAUUUCUACCCACAUUUGGUUGAAUUUAUGGAUGCAGAGCCCACGAAUAAGAAGGGCCAGCUAUAUAUAGUCUAUACAUAAAUCUGAUAUACAUCUGUUCCACCUGGAUGGGUGUGUUUUAGGACAUUGUUACAUUGCUUUAUUUGUCUUGCUCUAUAAUAUCUAGUAAGUGGUUUAAUUAAGAUAACUUAAAAAUAAAUAUUGAUUUUUGCAGGAAAAACACCUCUCAAUACAUAUUUUAUUCUCCUUUGUCUAUUUUUUAUAUUUUCUUUUUGCCAUGAAGUUUAAAUUACCUUUUCAAGUUUUAUGUGACAACUAUUUAUCCAGCUUUAGUAGCAAUUCUUAAAUUAGCAAUAUGUUUUAUGAAUGUAACUUAUAUUUUGUUUGUUUUUUAUAAUUUUUCUUUUUAGUUUGUUGGGGGUACAUAUUAGGUGUAUACAUUUAUGAGGUAUGUGAGAUAUUUUGGUACAGGCAUGCAAUACAUAAUAAUCACAACAUGGAAAAUGGGGUAUCCAUCCUCUCCAGCAUUUAUCCUUUGUGUUCCAAAUAAUCCAAUUAUAUUCUGUUAAUUAUUUGAAAAUGUACAAUUAAAUUAUUAUUGAUGACAGUCACUCUGUCAUGCUAUUAAAUACUAGGACUUAUUCAUUUAUUCUAAUAUUUUUUUGUACUCAUUAAACAUCCCCAUCUCCCUGCCAACACAACCCAAUACUCUUCUCACCCUCUGGUAACCAUCCUUCUGCCCUCUUUCUCCAUGAGUUCAACUGUCUUCAUUUUUAGAUCCCAUGAAUAAGUGAGAACAUGUGAUGUUUGUCUUUCUGUACCUGGCUUAUUUUACUUAACAUAAUGACCUCCAGUUCCAUCUGUGUUGUUGCAAACGGCUGAAUCUCAUUCUUUUUUUAUAUCUCAAUAGUACUCCAUUAUGUAUUUGUGCCACAUAUUAUUUAUCCAUUCAUCUGUUGGUGGAUACUUAGGUUGCUUCCAAAUUUUGGCUAUUGUGAACAAAGCUGCAACAAACAUGGGAGUGUAGCUAUCCCUUUGAUAUAAUGAUUUCCUUUCUUUUGUAUAUAUACCCAGCAGUGGGAUUGAUGCAUCGUAUGGUAGCCCUAUUUUUAAUCUUUUGUGAAUGUAACCUACUUUAAAUGAUUGAUGCAAAUUAGGUUCCUAAGGCUUACAUUUCCCCAAACAUUUAUUUAUUUGUCUGUUUAUUUACUUAAUUUGAUUAUGGUAUAAUAAAUUUAAGUUGUUUAGAGUAUACAAUUGUAUCUAGUUUUGACAUCUCUAAACACCUGUGAAUGCUUUAAGACAAUUAAGAUGAUCAUUUUUAUUAUUCCUAAAGUUUAAUUGUACUACUUUCCAUCCCAUCCCUCCUUUUACCCCUGCCCCAGGCAAUUACCAGUGUGAUUUCUAUUUCUGGAUUUAGUUUACACUUUUUAGAAUUUUAUACACAUGACAUCAUAUCAUAUGCAUUACUUUUGUAUAGUUUCUUUCAUUUAGCAAAUAGAUUUUUAUAAUCAUCCAUGUUGUGGUCUGUAUCAAUAGUUUAUUCCUUUAUUUUCUGUGUGAUAGUGAAUGAAUGAUCCAUUGAAUGGAUGUAUUUCAAUUUACGUAUGCAUUAACCUGUUGAUGGAUAUUUGCAUUUUUUUCCAGUUUGAGGCUCUUACAUAUAAAAUUGCUGUGAAUAUUUAUGUACAAGCCUUCAUGUGAAUGUGCCUUUAUGUUUUAUUGCUCUUGGAUAUAUACCUAGGAGUGGAAUGCCUAGAUGAUAUGGCAGGCAUUUAAGUUUUCACUAAACUGCAAAUUAGUUUUUAAAGUGGUUGUACUAUUCUACAUUCCCACUAGCAGUGUAAGAGAAUUCCAGUCCUUUCAUAUUAUCACCAAUACUUAGUGUGGUUAGAACUACAUUUUUGUGUUAAUUUCUCAGCCUACUUAUGUAAAUUCAAGCACAAAACUCAUGUGAGAAGUGGGAAAAAUUUGACAAAUCCCAGAUAAUAUUUUUCCUUGCCUAACCAGAGCAGAGUCCUGGUCAGAUAAUAUCCCUUAUUUUCUUUCUCUACAGGUGUGUGGACUUGUUUUUGCCCACUCUUUCAUUGAUGGUACAGCACUUUAAAGGCCCUCGCUUUAGGCGAUGGCUCCUUUCAUAACUUCCUAACUUUCAGGACCUGAAGGACUCAUCUCCUAUGCCUGUGUGUGUCACUAGGCUUUUGAGACAGGUAAGGCAACACCUAUCACUUGCUGCCCCAACUUCCCAAUUUCUACCCCCAGUCCCAAUUUUUAUAGCCUCCUCUUCUGGACUACAUUUCCCUCUUUGAUUUUGUUCUUAAAGAAAUUGAGACUAGCUAAUUAAAAUUAAUGUAUGCACAUUUACUAUUUUGGUUACUUCUACAGCAAAACAAAACUAUUAGCUAAUUAACCAAAUAUAUUCUCCCACAAUUUUUUUUUUGUGUAAGCCAAACAAUUAAAUUAAAUUUAAAAAGUAGAAUAAAAUAAGAACUUUGAAGCAGUCCCAUUCACAAUAGCUGAGAGGUGAAAGCAGCCCAAAUAUCCAUUGAUGGAUGGAUGAAUAAACAAAAUGUGUUAUAUUCAUACAAUGAAAUCUUUUUCAGCUUUAGAAAGGAAGGAAAUACUGUCGUAAACUACAACAUGAAUGAACCUUGAAGACAUUAUGCUAAGUGAAAUAAGCCUGUCACAGAAAAAAAAAUACGGUAUGAUUCCACUUGUAUGAAAUAUUUAAAGUAAGAAAAUUCAUAGAAAUACAAAAUAAAUGGUGGUCACUAGAGGCUGGAGAAAGGGGGAAAAGGAAGGUUGUUGUUUAAUAGGUAUAGAGUUUCAUUUUGCAACAUGAAAAAUCCUGGAGGUUUGUUUCACAACAAUGCGAAUAUACUUAACACUGUCAAACUCAUCCUUAAAAAUGGUUAAGAUUGUAAAUUUUGUUAUGUGUUUUUUACCUAGAAAAAUAAAUAAAUAAAAGCUUUGAGUAGUUUUCCUUCUAUGAGUUCUAAGAAAACUGUCUUCCUGUUUCUCCUGCGCUAAGAAGAUUACUAACUUUUCCCACAAAUAUUGGCAUGCAUAUUUACUGAAGCUUUUGAGCAAGACCAACAACAAUAGUUCCACUGUGAUGGAUUUCUGAAUACUGAAUGAGGCUGAGAGAAUUUUAAAAGAUUUGGACUCACUGUGACCUCUACUCACUGAAGCACUGAAGUUCAGAUUCCACUGCUCAAAGGGCAGACGAGUUUCCCUACUUACCAGAUGUCAGCUGAAGCAUGGUCCUUUUUUUUUUUAGCUGAAAGGCAACUCUCUCUGCAUUUUCUUUAUCAGCAAUGAAGCUCAAAGGAAAUGGCUUUCUGUGAACUAUGACAGUUUCUUUUUAUGGGACAAUUGUGUAUAUUCAAAUCUCAUUAUCCUGAAGCUUAUCUCUAAAAGUUAGUUAAUGAAGUUAACAAUACUCCUGAAAAACAUAAAAACAAACAUAAACAGACUAAUUUAUUUAUUUUAAAACAGGAACAAUACCAAUAGCUUUAUCUGAAAUAUACACAGAAUAUCAAAAUUUAUAUCAUUUUAGAAAUUUUAUGUGCAGUGCCAAGAUAGGUUUCCCUUAAUAUGCAAUUGACUUUUUCAAUGGACUUUUUCACAUUGUGAAAACAGUAAUUUAAUUUUCCCUGUUAACUUCUAAUUAGGAAUUGUAGACAUUUUUGGAAGAAGAAAGAGAGGGGCCCAUUAAAAACCUUUCAGUAUAUUCAGUAACUUUACUCCUUUGACACAAUCACUUCACAGAGCACCUCUUUUGAAUAGUUUCUUUUAUAAAUCUGAAUUUGUAUUUCUCAGUUCCUUUUAAAGUCCACUCAGCAGGACAGAGUUUUAAGUUAAAAUUUUGAGGGGAGAGAAAAAAUCCUUUCCAUAAACAACUUUUAGGAAUGUGGUAUAUAACAGUAGAUUUUCAGACUAUGUAGCUUUUCUUCUUACAAACUUUUAAGAGUGGAUUUAACUCUUGUCAGAAACAGUGAGGCCAAAGUGAUGAAAUAUAGUUUCCCGACCACCUCUUUUGGACUUUCAGUUUAUUUCAAGAUUGCUAUUAAUACUUAUACUUUACAAUAAUUCCCUGUCAUUAUUCUAAAAGGUAGUGUUCUUUGAGAGUUUGAAAGCCAAGUGGUUAGAAAUUUAGGAAGUGGAAGAUUUUCACUUGUAGCAUAAAAAUGGUAAAAAAAAAAAAAAAAAAGUACAGUAUUUCCUAAUAAUAUGAAAUUGAAACAUGAUAGCAAAUUUUAAAGAAAAGCAAAACUUAAAAAAAGAUAUACCCUUUAUAAUAACCCAAAUGUUUUUUAAAACAGAUUUCAGAUUAUUUCUGCCUGUGUUCUGGUUUACCUACCCUCUAUAGAUGGUAGAGUGGCUUCAGCUGUAACUUGGAAGUAAAUUUAAUGAACUGUCUUCUACCUUCUUAGAAUUUAAGUUGACUUUACCUUACACUAAGUGAAUUAAAUGACCACAGGUCAUGUUAGCAGAAAAUUACCCUCAGAGUGACUCUUAAACUAUUCUUAUUUGGUGUAUGUGGGGGCAGCAGCAUGAGGUAAGAAAAAGGAAUUGUGGAUCUAAAGCCAGAGGCUUGGGGUCAUUUGCAAGCUUCACUACCAAUAUCUAUACAUCUACCUUGAGCAAGCCAUGUAUACUCUUUCUCUCCAAUAGAAUAGAUACAAAAAUAAUUGCCCUGCCAUGUUAUUGGACUAUUAUCAGAAUCAAAUAAAAAUGUGAAUAAAAGAAAGAAAAAUAAUAAAAUUCUAGGAAAUACAAACCAUAGUAGUCUACGGCUUUAUCACAUUUAUAACAUAAUAACUUAGAAUCACGAAUUUUUUAAAUUAGAAUGGAAUAGAGAGCAUUUGCUAGUUUCUUGUUUCCUAACCGUUUUUAGGUCACAGACCUUAUUGGGAACUUAAUAUAAAUUCUGAACAUUGUAUCAGAAAAGUACACACACAUAUUCACAGGCACGAAAUAUUGCAUAUACUUUUUUGUGUGUUUGGUGUAUUGUGUGUGUGAAUGUCUGAUCAGUUUCAAUGCUUUCUUCUACAGAGUGGAUAAUGAAACUUAGAGAAAUGAAGAGACUGAAUUGAAGUCACACAGAAAGUUUGUGGCAGAGGUGUUUCUAGAGUACCUCUGCUAACUCACGCUCAGGUGCUCUGUUUCCCUAGACCAGGGACACUGAUGAGUGUCCUAAAGAGGAGCCUCGUUCAUUUCAAAGAGAGAUCUCAGGAGCAAAUACCAGACAGAGCCCUGGUAACCCUCACCACUUCUUUUAUCUGUUUUUUACAUUGGUCUUCCAAGACCCCAUCUUAUUUAAAAAAAUAAAGCUUGGAAACUGCUGCUGUAGGAGAAAAACACAAUUAUAAAUAUGAAGUGAGGAAAGAAAAGUAAUAGCAAAGUCAGAAAUUUCUUCUUAUCAUGUCCUUUCUGGAAGAAAAGUAUAGCUCCCAGAAAUUAUGACAUUCUUUAAAAACCACAGUGUCUGGUGGCCCAGAAAUGAGUAACUCUAAAAAUAUUUUCAAAAUUUAAUUCAGAAUUUUAAAGUCCCAAAAGAGUUAUCUCUAGAACUGUUUCACUAAAGAAUUCUACCAAAUGUUUAAGUAAGAAUUAACAUGAAUUUUUACAAUCUCUUAUAAGAAAUAGAAAAGAUGACACUUCAAAAUUUAUUUUAUGCAGCUAGUAUUACCCUAAUACCAAAAUGAGACAAAGACAGUACAAAAAAAGAAAAGCAAACUGGGAAAUCACAGACUAAUAUUCCUUGAGUAUAGCUGUAAAAAUUUUUGAACAAAUAAUAGCAAAUAAAAUUUGGCAAUAUAUAAAAAGAAUUAUGCACCCUGACCGAGUAGUGUAUAACUGGGUGAAAACAGGGCUGGUUGAAUAUUUGAAAAACAACCAAUAUAAUUUAUCAUAUUAACAGGCUGAAAAAGAAAAAUCACAUAAUUGUAACAAUUGAUACAAAAAACAUUUGAUAAAAUUCAACGUCUAUUCAUGAGAGAAUAAUUCAGAAAAUUACAGUUCAGAGAAAAACUCUUCAAAUACAAAAAACCUGCAUCUAAUAUCAUAUGUAAUGGAAAAACACUGAGUGCUUUUCUCCUAAGAUCUUGGACAAGGCAAACACAUCUGCCCUUACUCAAAAUAGAACCAAAAGUUCCAGCCCAUGUAAGAAAGCAUAAAAAGGAAAUAAAAGGCAUUAGGGUCAUAACAGAAGAAAUCAACUAUCCCUGUUUGCAGAAGUAAUGAUUGUCUAUGUAGAAUAUCCCAAAGAAUCUAUGAAGCUACUGUUAGAACGAAUAUCUAAUUUCACUAAGGUCACAGGAUACUAGAUCAGCAUACAAAAAUCAAUUUUAUUUCUGUAAACAGCCAUGAAUAUAUGAAAAGCAAAAAACAAAAUGUAAAACAUAAUACUAUUUUCAAUUAUUAACAAUGAGA
Molecule: long non-coding RNA, 10999 nt
Filed under: Homo sapiens (human)
Lineage: Eukaryota; Metazoa; Chordata; Mammalia; Primates; Hominidae
Description: HSALNT0111788
Source: RNAcentral